UACGUAGGGUGCAAGCGUUGUCCGGAAUUAUUGGGCGUAAAGAGCUCGUAGGCGGCUUGUCGCGUCGAUUGUGAAAGCUCGGGGCUUAACCCCGGGUCUGCAGUCGAUACGGGCAGGCUAGAGUUCGGUAGGGGAGAUCGGAAUUCCUGGUGUAGCGGUGAAAUGCGCAGAUAUCAGGAGAAACACCGGUGGCGAAGGCGGAUCUCUGGGCCGAUACUGACGCUGAGGAGCGAAAGCGUGGGGAGCGAACAGG
RNAcentral lists this ribosomal RNA (253 nucleotides) under uncultured bacterium. RNAcentral describes it as "partial 16S ribosomal RNA". It matches the Rfam family "Bacterial small subunit ribosomal RNA", at positions 524 to 776 of the family's 1533-position model. The record is from RNAcentral.